Molecule: ribosomal RNA, 253 nt
Filed under: uncultured bacterium
Lineage: Bacteria
Description: partial 16S ribosomal RNA
Rfam family: Bacterial small subunit ribosomal RNA
Source: RNAcentral
UACGAAGGGUGCAAACGUUGCUCGGAAUUACUGGGCGUAAAGCGCACGUAGGCGGCUUUGUAAGUUAGAGGUGAAAGCCCGGGGCUCAACUCCGGAACUGCCUUUAAGACUGCAUCGCUUGAAUCCAGGAGAGGUGAGUGGAAUUCCGAGUGUAGAGGUGAAAUUCGUAGAUAUUCGGAAGAACACCAGUGGCGAAGGCGGCUCACUGGACUGGUAUUGACGCUGAGGUGCGAAAGCGUGGGGAGCAAACAGG